GAUGAACGCUGGCGGCGUGCCUAAUACAUGCAAGUCGAGCGAACAGAUAAGGAGCUUGCUCCUUUGACGUUAGCGGCGGACGGGUGAGUAACACGUGGGUAACCUACCUAUAAGACUGGAAUAACUCCGGGAAACCGGGGCUAAUGCCGGAUAACAUUUAGAACCGCAUGGUUCUAAAGUGAAAGAUGGUUUUGCUAUCACUUAUAGAUGGACCCGCGCCGUAUUAGCUAGCUGGUAAGGUAACGGCUUACCAAGGCAACGAUACGUAGCCGACCUGAGAGGGUGAUCGGCCACACUGGAACUGAGACACGGUCCAGACUCCUACGGGAGGCAGCAGUAGGGAAUCUUCCGCAAUGGGCGAAAGCCUGACGGAGCAACGCCGCGUGAGUGAUGAAGGUCUUCGGAUCGUAAAACUCUGUUAUUAGGGAAGAACAAAUGUGUAAGUAACUGUGCACGUCUUGACGGUACCUAAUCAGAAAGCCGCGGCUAACUGCGUG
RNAcentral lists this ribosomal RNA (497 nucleotides) under uncultured bacterium. RNAcentral's name for it is "partial 16S ribosomal RNA". It matches the Rfam family "Bacterial small subunit ribosomal RNA", at positions 28 to 507 of the family's 1533-position model. The record is from RNAcentral.